Molecule: long non-coding RNA, 374 nt
Organism: Rhododendron vialii
Lineage: Eukaryota; Viridiplantae; Streptophyta; Magnoliopsida; Ericales; Ericaceae
Exons: 2
Source: RefSeq, a predicted model, not a curated record
AGGUUGAAGAUGGACAGUAUUACUAUUUAGCAUUCAAAAAGCACGGAGUUAACUUGGAGGAUUUCUUGAAAAAUGAUGACAACAAAAAGCGACUUAGUAACAAGCACUUGAUCAGCUCUUUUUACCAAAAAAUACUUGUUGAUUUGCUACAAGUUUGGCGGCACUUUGUGGGGCUUCAAGUUAAGUGUGACCUAAAGCUGAAGAACGUCUAUAUAUACGAUGGUGGAGAGGCCCUGCACGUCUCAUUGGUCGACUUUAGCAUUAGGGGAGGUAAAGUAUGCAUUUAUUGUUUUUAAGCUAAGUUGGAGUUCAUUAUAUAAAUUGAUCAAUCUAGAACAAAAGAGAUUAUCAAUCAACUGUUAACAUUACUUCUA